ACCAGGCGCGAAAACUUUGCACACUCGAAAGUGUGACAGGGCUAUCCCGAGUGCCAUCCGCUGAGGAAGGCUUUUACCCAGUCUAGAACGCUGGGGGAAUAAGGAGAGGGCAAGUCUGGUGUCAGCCGCCGCGGUAAUACCAGCUCUCCGAGUGGUGUGGAUGUUUAUUGGGCCUAAAGCAUCCGUAGCUGGCUAAGUUAGUCCCUUGUUAAAUCCACCGAAUUAAUCGUUGGAUUGCGGGGGAUACUGCUUGGCUAGGGGACGAGAGAGGCAGACGGUAUUUCCGGGGUAGGGGUGAAAUCCUAUAAUCCCGGGAAGACCACCAGUGGCGAAGGCUGUCUGCUAGAACGCGCCCGACGGUGAGGGAUGAAAGCUGGGGGAGCGAACCGGAUUAGAUACCCGGGUAGUCCCAGCUGUAAACGAUGCAGGCUAGGUGUUUGGACGGCCAUGUGCCGUUCUAGUGCCGCAGGGAAGCUGUUAAGCCUGCCGCCUGGGGAGUACGAUCGCAAGAUUGAAACUUAAAGGAAUUGGCGGGGGAGCAC
This 542-nucleotide ribosomal RNA is filed under the name uncultured archaeon. RNAcentral's name for it is "bacterial SSU rRNA". It matches the Rfam family "Archaeal small subunit ribosomal RNA", at positions 334 to 879 of the family's 1478-position model. The record is from RNAcentral.